UCCACCACUUCCCUGGGUGGUGCUUUCCCAUGCUGACAUUUUCUUUCAUCUCUUCAGAGACUAAAUGUCUGCUGCAGAUCCCUUUAAAAUGGAAAGACGUAUCAGUGAUGCACCAAAGACUCUUGUGCUGCAUACGAGUCAUUAAGAGCCCGCCUGGCUCCCUGCCACCCCUCUGCAUUGUGCCACAGCCUCCUUCUUGCCCUGUGGGCUGAUAUGCUCACAGCUGGCUCUUCACUGAUGCACCGGAGUGCGAUAGCUGAGGGCUAUCUACAUGGAAGAGGCUGCACAUGAGGUUUGAUCAGCCUUGGCAAGAGAUGGAUCGAGGACUUGAGGUCCCAGCCUGUCCUGACACGCAGAAGUAAGAGUCAAUUGAUAACUCUCAUUUCCCCUUAGCAUCUCUGCUAUCUGUGCACCCACAGAGAACUGUUUGGCAGUGCUGGUGUGUGAACUUCAAGUGGAAAGAAGGAGCUCACACUGCAUCGCUGUCUCCUCUCUGAGGGCCCCUACUUGUGCUCAUGGUUCCCAUGCUUGCUCCCUCAAUUCAUGCCUAGAAAGGCAGCUUGUUCCUCUGGAAGGUUUCUAUAUGAGCCAGUGCACGUCAAUAUAUUGUGCCGGGUGCAGGAAAGGUCUCAUACUUGUCAAGAAAUGCAGUUUCUGCCAUGGGAUGGCCCUAAGCCCUGGCGGCCUUCUCUCACUGCUCUCAUCCUGGUUAGGUGAUGUGGUAAUGUGGUCAGCUCUUUUCGAAUACUUAGCUUGUCUAACACCACUUUGCUCAGUUUAAGCUGAUAUUACCCAACAGAUGGACUGCAACCAACCAGAGGCCUCACAAGAAACAACUCAUAUGUCAGAUAUGCAUAAUGCAAUAAAAUUUCAUUGCAUUCUGAAUUGAGAGCAGGACUAUGUCCACCUGCAUCCUUCCCAGCCAGGUGUUUGCUGCCAGUCUUGCAGAACCCACCCUACGGUUUGAUAGUCUUCUCACUGUCUGACUCAACCCAAAUGUCUCUCUUGUGUUUAUGAUAAAUGUUAAAAUAAGGGAAAAAGUUAACUGAAGACUGCAGAGCAUACUGAGUAAGAAUGGUGUGGCUGUAAUGUCUCUCUGCCGGGCAUUUUCCCUUGCUGAAUACAGGAAAUAGUAGAUUCACUUCUGCUUCUCAUGGAGCUGUUCAACCGCUUUUCUCUCUCCAGAUUUAUGCACAGCUUUGGGCCCUGCUCCCCACAAACACUUCUGCUUUUAAAUAUGUUUAUAGCUGCCUAAAAGACAAUAGUUGGCAGGAUGAAAACCCUGUUUCUCAACCCAGCUGUUCCCAGCCAAUUUCUGUCAUGUGCACUGUAUAUAAUAUAUAGGGAAGUGAAAUUAUGAGAGAUUCACAAACUCACAAACUCCCCUAAGUGACAGACGCUGCAUUUCAACCUUCAAGCAGCCUUGACAUCAGACUGGGUCACACAAGAGCCAAAUCCUGUCUGCACAUCUGAUCCGUCUCGUUAUCAGGCAGGUGCCAUGCUACAAGCUCUACUGUCAAGAAGCCAAGUCUGCCAGCUCUUUGGCUUUCCACGGUGCUUCUGCUGUGACUGAAUGAAGAGAAGUUAACAAAUAACCCAAACCAGAUCUCUGCCAGAGAGUUACGCUUCAAAUUUGCACAAUAUGCUGAUUCAAGAUUUUUACACUUCAGUCAACACUUCAGGGUGAGGUUGACUUAACUUGCUUUUCCCAUGCAAACAGGGCAUGCUCUUGGCCCAUCUCACCCGAGCCGCACAGCAGUGGUUCAGCCUGGUGCUGGCCCAGGGAAGCUGAUAGGCUUUGUGGGGACCCCUGUGAAACCUGAUCAGCGCAUUUGCCUUUCUCACGUUUUGAUCUGAGCCGCAAACACCCUACCCAAAUAUAAACAUCAUUGCUUUUGUGCUGUUGCAGCUACACCCAUCAGCUUCCCACCUACUGCUGGGUCUUGGCAAGACCAUGGGCAUGUCCUCCAAAUGAAGUGGCACAACUACUGGUGGCCCUUCCAGCACACACCAAAAAGGUUUAAGAGAAUUAAGUGGGACUGGAUGGAACUGAACAGGAGGGAAGUGGGUUGAAAGCCUUCUUAGCUCUCUAGGUGAAACUCUGGCACCAAACACUCAGCAUGUAGUCACCAGGAUGCUGCAGAUACUGCUAAUGGUAGUUUGGAUGGUGCCUGAAACAAAACUGAGAUGUGAGAGCAAUGCACUAACCGGAGCUGAUGCCCAGUUUCUAGUCUUACGCCCAACUGGUUGGUGCAAUUGCUGUGGUUAACUUUCAGAGCUGGGCGGCUCCGUCCUUAGGGGAUGAUGUCUAGAGCUACUUAGUAACGUGUUAGCUAGCCAGGGUCUGGAGCAGGCCCAGUCCAGCAAGUGCAGUUACUUUAAACUGAGUCAUUCAGUCCCCAAAUGGGGACCCUUUCUACAAGUGCUGGAAGGAGUUGGUAAUGCCAGUACUCAAAAGCGGGAGUCAAAUUAAGACAGUUCAUACAAGUUAAUGCCAAAAUAAAAUUUAAACAGUGAAGAUGGAGAAUGCAGCUAAUGCCGUUCUAUGUGGUUUUAUAGCAAGAGAAAAAACAACAACUUUGAUUUGGUCAUCUGAUGAGAUGACAAGGCUGAGAAUAACGCUGUGCAGGAGAUUUGCACCUUUGGAUUGCAUUGCCCGCUGCUGUGAUCGACACUCUCCAGCCCAUAGUGAUGCAAAUCUUAUAUAGCAGUAUAAUUGGAUUUGGACUGAUGAGCUGUCAGAUUAAAAAAAAAAAGUCAGUGAAAAAAUCCAUACCAAACUAUAUAUAUUGUUUGUAAAAGCUCUGUGGGAGCCAUGAAUUCAAACCCCAAAAAAACUUCAGUAUUAUCAUCAGUGGAGUGAAAGCGGACUGGGAAUCAGAGCCAGUAGGGUGAUCUGAUCAAAAAACUAGAUGACUGGGCAGCAGUUCAGCAAGCUCUGAGUAAUCUGGGGUUUCUGAGAUGAUUCACCCUCACGUUUAUUGUAGCCAGCAUUACAUGUUGGAGAAAUGAGCACCACAAACUGUGCCUGGAACACAAGGUCUAUCCACCAGGCAACCAUGAAGCCAGCCAGCGUGGGCAGACAUUGAAACUGAGCACCCGGCUGGAUGCUUCAGUACAAAGAGCUGAUGCAAUCUUUGGGUGUUUACAGCUGUACUACGUGAGAAGGAACACAGGAGGGAAAAUUUUACUGCUGUAGGGCUCUCUGCUGGGGCUGUAGGCAUGCUUCAUGUGUGCAAACUCAUAAGAGGUGGAGAAAGUAGAACAAAGCAAGCAAACCUCUGGGACACUGUCAGGUGCACCCUUGCUCCCUGCUCCCACAGUCGUUCUCUGACGACUUUAAGCCAGUAGAUCCGGAGUAAUGUUUAGAGCCUUGAGACUACUGUUAUACUCACAACAUGUUGUGCUGCUUCUUUGCCCAUAAAUAAGAUUUUGAGCGCAACGUCUCCCUGCAGCCCACUGGGCUGGAGAAUUCUGAGAGUUUGAGCGCGUUCAUUCCUCUGUCUGGCUCUGGACUUCAGCAUGUGAUGCUCACAGCUGCAUUAGAGGUGACAUGGUUUAGCACAUUUGGGAUGCCAGCACCCCUGUUCUUCUCCUUCUUCACAAACAGAGGCACAAUAAAAGCAUCUCUAAACAAUUGCUCUGAAGAGUGAACUCCAACCCUCGCACAGCUUACAAGCCUAAACAGUGCAUCCGAAAUGCUGAGUGCUGACUGCAGCCAUCUCCUUCUCCGAAGCUCUGCCUGGAGGGUGAGCACCCUGUGUCCGGGUGCAGGUUCUCCUCCACUUGUUUCAGAGGGAGGGAGAGGCCUCUGAAGCAAAACCCAGCAGAGGGAGCCUCGUCUUCUCAUGUCACUUGACAUGGCGGCGUUCUAGACUGCCAGUAGGAGAUGCAGUUGUUCUUCAUUACAAAUGUGGGAGGCAAAAAUUGCCUUGAGAGAGAGAAACGCUGCAUCUAGGGGUGGAAAUGUCUUAGCUCAAGGGCUGGAGAAGGGAAGAGCCGCAGAAAGCUGGCACACUUGCACACAAAGCUAGCAUACUUCAUGCAAACAAAAAGGCCCCCCUUCCUGAAACCUGCUCUGACAGCCGUGCCCCGAUCUGUUGGUCUGCAAAGACCUGCACAGCCCUUGACCUGGGUGAGUACUGUGUUAAGAGAUCAGCACUAAAUGGAUAUCUCACCUCAGAUGGUGAUUCAUUUCAUUUUUCUGAACCAGCCUCCACAGCAAGCAGUGGGUAAGCCCAGCACCAACGUUCAAGUUCAAGAAUGAGUCAGACUGUGGCUAUUUUUCCAUGGCACCAGGCUUCAGAGAGAGCUGGUGUGCCUCUGAAAUCGAGAAGAGCCUGGGCGUGCUGUGCUGGUAUCGGUGCUGGAUUACUGGAGGUGCUGUGGGGAAAUGGAGAGGUGAGCAGAGACCCACGGCUCUGCUCUAUUUCUUGGUGUGCCUCCUCCUCCUUUUGGCAGAGUGGAACUCAGACCCGGCUUAGUGCAUCUGAUCCGAUACUUAAGAAGCAGGAGGUAAUUAAUGAACCCAUGUCAAAUAUGUGACUUCUUACCUUGCUGCAUGCUGGCUGAAAACUGUCACGGGGAAAAAAUAUGGUUUCCCAAGGUAUCUUUAAUUAUCUUAAGCAUGAGACUGUUCCCUCCUAUUCUUAAUAUCCACUACUUACCUUUCAGCCUAGGCAGCAAAUGGGGGGAUAUCCUGUAGAACAAAGUCAGAGCUAUGAAAUUCAAACUGGCAUAUAUAGAAGAGUUGGUAUUUAUUGGUAGAGAACACAGAGUUACUAAAGGUUACUAAGGUUACUAAAAUCAGGCAGAAUUCUUAACUUGCCGGUUAGCGCAGUUUACAGGAUGCAGGUUGUGCCUUACAUUUUUCAUGAAAUAUCUAGAUGGUAGAAAAGUGCCUCUGGUCCUCAGUUCUCAACUAGCUCUACAUUUUUCUCUUACUGUCUACCAGGGAGAAACAUUUCCAGGCCUACUAAUAUACUUGUAUGCAGAUUUCCUUAACCACGUGUAACUGUAUGCUCCCUACUUUUCAUUUUGGGGUCUUUUUUCCCUUCAUAUUUGCAUUGAGUUCAUCCUCAGUCAUUUUAAUAUUUUCUGUAUGUCACCACUGCUGAAGCUGCUGCCAGUUCCUAAGUUACAGCUCAGCAUUAUUUUACAAAAUCAAUAGGAUAACAGGAGU
Numida meleagris (helmeted guineafowl) is the source of this 5182-nucleotide long non-coding RNA. RefSeq lists it as uncharacterized. NCBI's taxonomy places the organism in Eukaryota, Metazoa, Chordata, Aves, Galliformes, Numididae. The transcript is spliced from 3 exons. The record is from RefSeq and is a predicted model, not a curated record.